UAUGACCAUAUUAUGCUGAAACACUGGUUCUCGUACGAUCACCGAAGUUAAGCAACGUCGACCCUGGUCAGCACCUCGAUGGGUGACCGCUUGGAAAUGCUAGGUGUUGCAA
This is a non-coding RNA of Acanthosepion pharaonis, 112 nucleotides long. The record is from the annotation of a GenBank genome assembly. Lineage: Eukaryota; Metazoa; Mollusca; Cephalopoda; Sepiida; Sepiidae.